UUCUCGGAGUUUCCUCGGAAUUUUGUUUCCUCGGAAUUCCGUCGGAAAUUUCCGACGGAAUUCCGAGGAAGUAUGAAUUUCCGAGAAGAUAUUUCCGAGGACUUUUUUCGUCGGUAUGUCGUCGGAAUAGCGUUAUUCCGACGACAUACCGACGAUUUUUUCCCUCAGUAUCCCGAUGUUUUCUUGUAGUGCACAUUCUCUUAACUGAAAUUCUUACCUUCAGAUAAGAGACGAUUCUUAAAUUUUCUUAGAUUUUAACUAAAAAAAAUAAGAACUAUCUUUUAAAUAAGAGAUAUAAAUAUAUAAUAGCUGUUUCUUAACCGAAAAAUAUAAAAAGAAAAAACAAAAAAAUAUCAAAUCAUGAAUUAAGAACUCCAUGCCCACUAGUGAAGAAAUCCAUAAUAGGUUCUCAUUGUUUUUUUUAUAUUAUUAUUUGAUGCACUUUUUGUAAAUAACUAAAAAAAAAUUUCAGACUAAACUACACAAAUAAAAAAGUGCCACUUUUUUUGCUAAACUACACAAAUGAAAAAGUGCCAAAGUAAAUAUGUAAAAAUGUCUUAAUCAAUUCUCUACCCAUAUACGGUAUGACCAUCUCACCUCUCACUUUUCUUAUUUUCUAAUAUUAUAACGUUAGAUAUCUGCCUCCAUCCUAUUGAUGGAGGUGCUCUAACCUUUUAUCCUUUAUUAUUGAGUGUGAUACAGUCUCCGCAGCAAUUGGUCUCUGAAGCAAUUUCUCUAUUUCUUUGGAAACGCCAUACAAAUAUCAGAGCAACCUCAAUGGUGGCUAGAACAACUUCGAUGGUGGAUUUCCACCAUUAAAUUCUCAAAAUACAUAUACUAAACAUAUUUGUGUUAGAUAUUUUUGGCUUUCUUGUAAAAUUAAAAUAUCCACAAUUUAAUAAUAUAUAUAUAUAUAUAUAUAUGCUGUUAUGCAGCCAAUCAACUUAUUCUACUAAUUUAUUUAACGUCAAAAUAUUAAUUAAGCUUUUGCGACAUUUGUAAAUUUGAGAUUUAGGGAUGUUGUCAUGUCGAACCUUGAAUGUUUUGCACAAUAGAUUGUCACUUAGUUUUACGUUUUUCUAUCUAUAAUACUUUUAGAUCAAAACCAAGUAAUAAUUGAUUAUGGCUGUUUCACAACUCAUAACAUUUCUCCUUAAUAUGAUUUUUUAAUUUAAUUUAUAUGUUAUUAUUUUGAUUAUUUUAGAUGAGUAACUUCUGUGAAAUAAUGUUUUUUCCAGGAUAAUUACUACUUUGACUUAGCAACAAAGAUAAUAAUUAUAUUUACAGAAAGCAGCCAGCAUUAAUAAUACGAAUUUUUUUAUAUCCUUACUUAUAGUUUUGUGAGAGUAGUCCUUUUAUUUUUGGCUAUGUUUUGUUAAGGAAGAGAAUUACCAAUAAAAAAAAGAAUUUCAAAGGUGAAAAAGAGAACAAAUUCCCUCCAAAUGAUUGGGCCAUAAACCACAGAAGGCUUCUCUCUCAGCCGAAAAACGAGAGGAGCCAAACACAUACACUCCUCAUAAAACCUUCACAAAAUCUCUACUGAUCUCUGAUAUAUUGUUGGUGACUAGAUCGCUUUUGUUGCUUUCUCCGGCGGCUGCAUCGUUCCUCGAUCUAGGUUCUAAUAGAGAUGGCAAAAUUUGAACCUGCCCGCGGGUCCAGCCCGUUUGGACCUGUUGCGGGGCGGGAUUGGUUACUAAGAUCCAGGCCCGAAUUUUUAGCGGGCCUCGCGGGAUGAGCUUGUGCGGGAUCGGACCAGAAGCGGGAUGGGUUCAGUGUAUCCCGCGGGACGUGCGGGGAUCCGCAAAGACUGGUCUCUAUCAUUGAUCAUCGUACGUUCUUUCACCACUCCUUUCAGUACAUCGAGUAUUUGCUUCGGUUAGGUCAUAAACAACUUGAUCAACUCAAAAGUCCUGAUAUGGUAUGUCUAAGCAAUUUGUUUUGUAUUCUUUCUGUUGUAUUUCGUUGGUUUGUGCUGAACGCUGUAGUGAACGAUCAAUACAUAAAUUAUGUUGCUCAAA
Molecule: long non-coding RNA, 2018 nt
Organism: Brassica rapa (field mustard)
Lineage: Eukaryota; Viridiplantae; Streptophyta; Magnoliopsida; Brassicales; Brassicaceae
Source: RefSeq, a predicted model, not a curated record